Ribosomal RNA from Blastococcus saxobsidens DD2, 3127 nucleotides. It matches the Rfam family "Bacterial large subunit ribosomal RNA". The record is from Rfam. Lineage: Bacteria; Bacillati; Actinomycetota; Actinomycetes; Geodermatophilales; Geodermatophilaceae.
GGCCAAGUUGUUAAGGGCACACGGUGGAUGCCUGGGCACCAGGAGCCGAUGAAGGACGUAGGAGGCUGCGAUAAGCCUCGGGGAGCUGUCAACCGAGCGUUGAUCCGAGGAUGUCCGAAUGGGGGAACCCCGCACCAGUCAUGUGGUGUGACCCGCGCCUGAACACAUAGGGCGUGUGGAGGGAACGUGGGGAAGUGAAACAUCUCAGUACCCACAGGAAGAGAAAACAACAGUGAUUCCGUGAGUAGUGGCGAGCGAAAGCGGAAGAGGCUAAACCGUUUCCAUGUGAUAGCCGGCAGGCGUUGUGGAGGCGGGGUCGUGGGACAGUUCAGUCACUCCUGCCGGGGUGGCGGGGAGUCAUAAAAGACUUGUGUUAGUGGAAGGCCUCUGGAAGGGGUCGCCGUAGAGGGUGAGAGCCCCGUACACGAAAACCGAGUCUCUCCCGAGCUUGUUCCCAAGUAGCACCGAGCCCGUGAAAUUCGGUGUGAAUCUGGCGGGACCACCCGCUAAGCCUGAAUACUCCCUGGUGACCGAUAGCGGACAAGUACCGUGAGGGAAAGGUGAAAAGUACCCCGGGAGGGGAGUGAAAUAGUACCUGAAACCGUGUGCCUACAAGCCGUGAGAGCCUUAUGCCCUUCGGGGUGGGGGUGAUUGCGUGCCUUUUGAAGAAUGAGCCUGCGAGUUAGUGGUACGUGGCGAGGUUAACCCGUGUGGGGUAGCCGUAGCGAAAGCGAGUCCGAACAGGGCGAUCUUCAGUCGCGUGCUCUAGACCCGAAGCCGAGUGAUCUACCCAUGGCCAGGUUGAAGCGCGGGUAAGACCGCGUGGAGGACCGAACCCACCAGGGUUGAAAACCUGGGGGAUGAGCUGUGGGUAGGGGUGAAAGGCCAAUCAAACUCGGUGAUAGCUGGUUCUCCCCGAAAUGCAUUUAGGUGCAGCGUCACGUGUUUCUUGCCGGAGGUAGAGCACUGGAUGGCCGAUGGGCCCCACAAGGUUACUGACGUCAACCAAACUCCGAAUGCCGGUAAGUGAGAGCGUGGCAGUGAGACUGCGGGCGAUAAGGUUCGUAGUCGAGAGGGAAACAGCCCAGAUCAUCGGCUAAGGCCCCUAAGCGUGUGCUAAGUGGAAAAGGAUGUGGGAUCGCAGAGACAACCAGGAGGUUGGCUUAGAAGCAGCCACCCUUGAAAGAGUGCGUAAUAGCUCACUGGUCAAGUGGUUCCGCGCCGACAAUGUAGCGGGGCUCAAGCACACCGCCGAAGCCGUGGCAUUCACAUGAUCGCCCGCCGGUACCUCUCGAAGGUGCCGGCCAGGUGUGUGGAUGGGUAGGGGAGCGUCGUGUGGCGGUGGAAGCGGCGGAGUGAUCCAGCCGUGGACGCCACACGAGUGAGAAUGCAGGCAUGAGUAGCGAGAGGGGAGUGAGAACCUCCCCCGCCGGAAGACCAAGGGUUCCUGGGCCAGGCUAAUCCGCCCAGGGUGAGUCGGGACCUAAGGCGAGGCCGACAGGCGUAGUCGAUGGACAACGGGUUGAUAUUCCCGUACCCGCGAAGGAACGCCCAUGCUGAACCCAGCGAUGCUAACCCACCGACGCCGGUGCGCCCACUUGUGGGCACGCCGGGGAAGCUGGGGACCCGGACUGGUAGUAGGCAAGCGAUGGGGUGACGCAGGAAGGUAGUCCUACCGGUGAGUGGUAGUACCGGGGCAAGGGUGUGGCCCGUGGGAUAGGUAAAUCCGUUCCACACGAGGGUGAGACCUGAUGCAUAGCCGAUUGAGGCGAAUUGGAUGAUCCUAUGCUGCCGAGAAAAGCCUCUAGCGAGUUCCGAGUGGCCCGUACCCCAAACCAACUCAGGUGGUCAGGUAGAGAAUACCGAGGCGAUCGAGCGAACUGUGGUUAAGGAACUCGGCAAAAUGCCCCCGUAACUUCGGGAGAAGGGGGGCCAUCGAUCGUGAACCGCUCUUGCAGUGGGGAGCGGUGGGUGGCCGCAGAGACCAGUGAGAAGCGACUGUUUACUAAAAACACAGGUCCGUGCGAAGUCGUAAGACGAUGUAUACGGACUGACGCCUGCCCGGUGCUGGAACGUUAAGGGGACGGGUUAGCCGCAAGGCGAAGCUCAGAACUCAAGCGCCAGUAAACGGCGGUGGUAACUAUAACCAUCCUAAGGUAGCGAAAUUCCUUGUCGGGUAAGUUCCGACCUGCACGAAUGGCGUAACGACUUCUCAGCUGUCUCAACCACAGGCUCGGCGAAAUUGCACUACGAGUAAAGAUGCUCGUUACGCGCGGCAGGACGGAAAGACCCCGGGACCUUUACUAUAGCUUGAUAUUGGUGUUCGGUUCGGCUUGUGUAGGAUAGGUGGGAGACUGCGAAGCGGGCACGCCAGUGUUCGUGGAGUCGCCGUUGAAAUACCACUCUGGUCGAAUUGGAUGUCUAACCUCGGUCCGUGAUCCGGAUCAGGGACAGUGUCAGGUGGGUAGUUUAACUGGGGCGGUUGCCUCCCAAAAUGUAACGGAGGCGCCCAAAGGUUCCCUCAGCCUGGUUGGCAAUCAGGUGUCGAGUGCAAGUGCACAAGGGAGCUUGACUGCGAGACCGACGGGUCGAGCAGGAGCGAAAGCUGGGACUAGUGACCCGGCACCGGCAUGUGGAAGCGGUGUCGCUCAACGGAUAAAAGGUACCCCGGGGAUAACAGGCUGAUCUUCCCCAAGAGUCCAUAUCGACGGGAUGGUUUGGCACCUCGAUGUCGGCUCGUCGCAUCCUGGGGCUGGAGUAGGUCCCAAGGGUUGGGCUGUUCGCCCAUUAAAGCGGUACGCGAGCUGGGUUUAGAACGUCGUGAGACAGUUCGGUCCCUAUCCGCCGCGCGCGUAAGAGACUUGAGAAGAGCUGUCCCUAGUACGAGAGGACCGGGACGGACGAACCUCUGGUGUGCCAGUUGUACCGCCAGGUGCACUGCUGGUUAGCUACGUUCGGCAGGGAUAACCGCUGAAAGCAUCUAAGCGGGAAGCUCGCUUCAAGAUGAGGUCUCUCACCGGGUCAACCGGGUAAGGCCCCCGCCCAGACCAGCGGGUUGAUAGGCCGGAAGUGGAAGCACCGCAAGGUGUGCAGCUGACCGGUACUAACAGGCCGAGGGCUUGACCAC